This 2049-nucleotide long non-coding RNA is filed under the name Ananas comosus (pineapple). Its description in RNAcentral is "long non-coding RNA (ACOM_LNC042948)". The record is from RNAcentral. Lineage: Eukaryota; Viridiplantae; Streptophyta; Magnoliopsida; Poales; Bromeliaceae.
UUUGAUGCUCCAAAUUAAAUUAAGUUGAAGAAUUCAUGACUGAGAAUUUGACAAAUUCGGAACAUAUUUUGGAUGAAUUUGAUUUUGAACGAGAUACUGAAAUAUUUUAAUAGACCAAAUUAUAUUCAUUUCACAAAUUCGAACUCAACGCGACCCGACUCAAACUCAAAUACAAAUCGGAGCUCAAUUCCAUCCAAUCCACGCAGGCCCAUAUCAAAUCCGAAUUCAAAUUCAAAUAACCCAAAUCCAAACGGAUCUUCAUCAAGCCCAAAAUGAUUUGAACCCAAAACCAAUUCAAAAAUAAAAUUAGCCCAUCCCAUACUCAUCUCUAAAUCCCAUAUUAAACCCAAAUCCAAAUCUCAAAUUGAUUCUAAAUCCAAAUCCGAAUUUCAAUCCGAAUCUCAAAUUGAUUCUAAAUCCAAAUCCAAAUCCAAAUCCCAAAUCAAGUCCAAAUCCAAUUUAAGCCCAAAAUGAGCCCAUGAUCCAAAUCUAAAUUGAGCCAUUAAAAUGAGCUCAUAUUACAUCUAAGUCCAAAUCCUCAUGAAGCCCAGAGCCCAUUUACAAAUGGCCCCAGUCCAAAACCCAUUUGGGCCCACUAUCUAAGCCCAUUAUCCGAAACUCAUUAAAACCAUUAACCCAUAAACCCAUAUACAUAAACCUAUAUACAUUUACCCAUGAACCCAUACACAUUUAACCCAUAUCUAAGCCCAUAACCUUAACCAAGUCCAUGAACUUUGAACCAAAACCAUGGACCAAACCAUACACCAAAUCCUGUGGACCAUACUAUACACCAAAUCCACGAACUAUGAAUCAAGUUCAUGAAUCAAAUCAAGUUCAUGAGCCAUGGAUCAUAAACCACAAACCAUACACCAAGUCCAUGAACCAUAAAUCCAUGAACCAUAAACCCAUGAACCAUAAAACCAUGAACCAUAUCUAAGUUCAUGAACCAUAAUCCCAUAUACCCAAUACCAUAAACCUUGUGAACCAAACCUUCGACCGAAACGUCGUUAAACUAAUCCACCAAAUCAAUCGACCGAAACGUCGUUAAACUAAACCUAAAUCCGAUAUCGACCGAAAUGUCGUUAAACUAAACUCAAGUUCAAUUUUCACGAACAUCCCACAAUUCCCAAAAUAUUCGAUUCUCUAGCAUAUAAAACUAGAGUCAAAUCACAAUCAUGUUCAAACUUGAUCAAAUUCUAAACCUAUAUUUAGAAUUGAUCAAACCAUCUGAUCAAAUUAAUUUGUUGGAUUCCAAUACAUACACUUGGAGUUUAAUUUAAAUCAAAUCUGACUAAUCCUAAUACAUAUAAUUAGGAUUUAGUUAAUAUUUCACCUUGAGAUGAACCAAAAUCAAAUGUGACUAAGCUCUAAUACAUAAACUUAGAGCCUAAUUGUAUCAGACUCUAAAAUAUAAAAUUAGAGUCUAAUUCAAGAUAUUUGGGGCUAAUCCUAACACAUAUAUUUAGGAUGAAAGCUCAAAUCAUACUCUAUUGGACUUUAUUACAUAUAUUUAAAGUUCAAUUAACCAAAUCAAACUCUAAUACAUAUAAUUAGAGUUUAAUCUGAAUUAAAUCUGAUUAAAUUCCAAUGCAUAUAUAUAUGGAAUUUAAUCAAUCUUUCAUCUUAGGAUGAAUAGUGUUGAGCUCCACAACAUAUAGAGUCCAACAAAAUUAAUUUGACCAUAUAUUGGGUAUCUUAGAAUAUAUAACUAAGAUACAAUUGAAAAAUACAUUUUCUUUACGCUCUAUUCAUGUACACUGAGGGUAUGCCCUUGGUUAAAGCCAUGUAAUUGAGCAAUAAAUUAUAAAUUUCCUUUUGUCCAAUUCCAGUUUAUCUUCAGCAUUUCAGAGGUCUCUUAAUCGAAGGUGCCCUAAUAUUCUAUAGGGGUAAUUAACAAUAGACGCUUGCGUUUAUUGGAAGCUAUGGAUCCGCAAUACCUGAUAACCAUACAUACACAUACUUUAAUCUACAUCAUGAAUACUACCCCACGGGAGAACCAAAAGAUAAAAAUUCUCCGUGCGAGGUAUGUCAUUCGUGGUGGCAGACACA